This 497-nucleotide ribosomal RNA is filed under the name uncultured bacterium. RNAcentral describes it as "partial 16S ribosomal RNA". It matches the Rfam family "Bacterial small subunit ribosomal RNA", at positions 28 to 507 of the family's 1533-position model. The record is from RNAcentral.
GAUGAACGCUGGCGGCGUGCCUAAUACAUGCAAGUCGAGCGAACAGACGAGGAGCUUGCUCCUCUGACGUUAGCGGCGGACGGGUGAGUAACACGUGGAUAACCUACCUAUAAGACUGGGAUAACUUCGGGAAACCGGAGCUAAUACCGGAUAAUAUAUUGAACCGCAUGGUUCAAUAGUGAAAGACGGUUUUGCUGUCACUUAUAGAUGGAUCCGCGCCGCAUUAGCUAGUUGGUAAGGUAACGGCUUACCAAGGCGACGAUGCGUAGCCGACCUGAGAGGGUGAUCGGCCACACUGGAACUGAGACACGGUCCAGACUCCUACGGGAGGCAGCAGUAGGGAAUCUUCCGCAAUGGGCGAAAGCCUGACGGAGCAACGCCGCGUGAGUGAUGAAGGUCUUCGGAUCGUAAAACCCUGUUAUUAGGGAAGAACAAAUGUGUAAGUAACUAUGCACGUCUUGACGGUUCCUAAUCAGAAAGCCACGGCUAACUACGUG